CAACACAGCGUUAGUUGCGCAACACUAUUGCAGUCUAGUGUUGAAGAUAAGUUCUCCACUACAUAAGUAAAAGUGGAGAUUUUUGAUCAUGAAAUGAUAGAAAGAAGAAUAAUAGAUCUUCAGAAGUGAACUGAGCUUCUAUCUCUCUUAUCUAUCUCGAAAAUCAUUAUCAUCUCUGUCAACUUUCAGACCUGUGGGAAAUAUCACAGCUACAGACAGCAGUUGCACAGCUGCUGAAUGAAGAGGGCUGUAUACUGCCAGCAAGCUUCGAGCAGGCGCACUGUGAUGCCAUCUGUUCCCGGGGUGCUCUGCACCCCAAUUGGCUCAGAUACUCUCUAUUCUUACCUCUGAAUUAUCUGCCAUCUGUCUACCUACCUACUGACCUGUGCGAUAUCCGAUAAAUUGUCCAUGAAAUAUAGAAUGCCCGCUAGAUAGCUAGCUAUCCAUCUACAUCUCUAUCUAUCAAUCAAUCUUCUGCUCAACAUUCAAUCAUUCUCUAUAAGAAUAAACAUCCCC
RNAcentral lists this small RNA (516 nucleotides) under Histoplasma capsulatum. Its description in RNAcentral is "hypothetical RNA". The record is from RNAcentral. Lineage: Eukaryota; Fungi; Ascomycota; Eurotiomycetes; Onygenales; Ajellomycetaceae. RNAcentral also lists the same sequence under 1 other name.